CGUGUAGGCGGCUUUUUAAGUCAGACGUGAAAUCUCUGGACUUAACCCAGAAAUUGCGUUUGAAACUGGAAGGCUUGAGGAUCGGAGAGGGUAGUGGAAUUCCCAGUGUAGCGGUGAAAUGCGUAGAUAUUGGGAGGAACACCAGUGGCGAAGGCGACUGCCUGGACGACACCUGACGCUGAGGCGCGAAAGCCAGGGGAGCAAACGGGAUUAGAUACCCCGGUAGUCCUGGCCGUAAACGAUGGGUACUAGGUGUGGGAGGUAUCGACCCCUUCCGUGCCGCAGUUAACACAAUAAGUACCCCGCCUGGGGAGUACGGCCGCAAGGUUAAA
Molecule: ribosomal RNA, 332 nt
Filed under: uncultured bacterium
Lineage: Bacteria
Description: bacterial SSU rRNA
Rfam family: Bacterial small subunit ribosomal RNA
Source: RNAcentral